Myotis lucifugus (little brown bat) is the source of this 194-nucleotide small nuclear RNA. Its record names the gene U2. It matches the Rfam family "U2 spliceosomal RNA". From Rfam's summary of the family: U2 is a small nuclear RNA (snRNA) component of the spliceosome (involved in pre-mRNA splicing). Complementary binding between U2 snRNA (in an area lying towards the 5' end but 3' to hairpin I) and the branchpoint sequence (BPS) of the intron results the bulging out of an unpaired adenosine, on the BPS, which initiates a nucleophilic attack at the intronic 5' splice site, thus starting the first of two transesterification reactions that mediate splicing. Lineage: Eukaryota; Metazoa; Chordata; Mammalia; Chiroptera; Vespertilionidae. The record is from Ensembl.
AUUGAUUCUUGGCCUUUUGGAAAAGAUCAAGCAUAAGUAUCUGUUCUUAUCAGUUUAAGUUCUGAUAAGUCCUCUAUCCCAUGACAACAUAUUAAGUGAAUUUUUGGAACAGGGAGAUGGAGUAGGAACUUGCUCUUUCCACAUUGCAUAUCGACCCGGUUUUGUACUACCUUUGGGGAAUUGGGAAUGCCCUG